Oreochromis aureus is the source of this 353-nucleotide long non-coding RNA. RefSeq lists it as uncharacterized. The record is from RefSeq and is a predicted model, not a curated record. Lineage: Eukaryota; Metazoa; Chordata; Actinopteri; Cichliformes; Cichlidae. The transcript is spliced from 3 exons.
AGACUUCGUGGCCCAACAUAUCCCAGAAUGCAUAGCGCAGUGGUGGGUUUGCAUAAUUUUGCCAAAAAAAAAACGUCGGAAGAGGGGCGCCCGAAGAGUAAACUUUAAAAGACAGGAGAGAGAGGAGGAGGAGAGACCAGAGGUGAUGAAGAGUUCAGCAGUGAAGAAAAGUUUUCACGGCAUUCAAUAAAUGCAGCGAAGCGCCCGUCUUGAAGAAGCCGUGCCUGUGUUGUCAUUUCGGAGUUACAGUGAAAACUCGCCCUAGCCAGUGCCGGUGAGAAGCUAAUUAAGAAGACGGCAGCUGCAGAGAGAGACGGGGAAGUGGAGCGACACAAGAGGGCGCCAUUGUAUAA